This is a long non-coding RNA of Mus musculus (house mouse), 3066 nucleotides long. RefSeq annotates it as predicted gene, 30134. The transcript is spliced from 2 exons. The record is from RefSeq and is a predicted model, not a curated record. NCBI's taxonomy places the organism in Eukaryota, Metazoa, Chordata, Mammalia, Rodentia, Muridae.
UGAUCACAUGCGUUUUUUUUUUUGUUUUUUUUUUUGUUUUUUUUUUUUUUUGGUUUUUCCGAGACAGGGUUUCUCUGUGUAGCCCUGGCUGUCCUGGAACUCAUUUUGUAGACCAGGCUGGCCUCGAACUCAGAAAUCCGCCUGCCUCUGCCUCCCGAGUGCUGGGAUCACAUGCGUUUUAUUUACCCUGUUUUCACACUCAGACAAAUCUACCCAGUCCCCAGUGAGGCAAGGGCUAGAGUGUUUGUAAAGCACCUGCCCUCUGUGAUCUAAAUAGAGAGUUCCAGAAGGAAGCAGGUGUUUGUCACUGCCUAGGAAGAAGUUUGUUAGAGGGUGGGAAAGACUGGCUUCCUGGUCUGUCUUCUGGUAAAGACCUGGAACUCAGAAAUUAAGAGAAGUCCCCUUUUGGGACCAAGAUUCUACCAUUUUGACACAAAUAAAGUGAGUGGCACUAUUGUCUCCAUUUCUUUACUAAGUAAUGAGUUCAGGGUGGGGGACAAUAGCCCUGAGGGACACUAGAAAAGGUGCCAGUUUGGGGGAAAUUGGGUAUUUGCUAAAUGUCUGCAGCUGAACUUACCCACCCAAACUUCAAGUUAGCAAGUUAGUACUCUCAGGAGGUGACCUAUCCCAUGAUGCUUCAUGAUGCUCCUGUACAGAAAGGGUUCAACACUGCUGUGUUGGGACCCCUUCCAGUGUCUCCUCGGAAGCUACCACAGGAACUUCUGAGAAGGCAUUGAGGAGAGGAAGGGAGCCAGAGGCCCUGAGGGGAGCUGCGACACUCUGCCCUGGCAUUGUGUUAAUUUCCUGUCUGCUAGUAAAUCAUUAUCCUUGUUGGAUCUUGUCUAGCUUUCAACACAGGUACAAAACGUUUUAAAUAAAAAUGAGAACAUUAACAAUAUUUAUUAUUUUUUUUCUUGCCAAGAUUCCAUCUGGUCAAAGACAAACUUAAAGCCACAUGCCCAAGGUACCCAGGGUACCAGCAAGCCUCUCCCUAGCCCAAACCAAAAAUGUCCCGCAUACUUCGAAGCAUUUUCUUUGUCAUUUUUGACCCGAACGACAUCCCUUCAAAGGCCAUCAAGAUGCCCCUGACAGUUGCCUCUGAGAGAACCUUUGAGGCCUUUCCUCUUAUUGCAGAGACUUCCAGUGUCCCUCAGUGCUUGAGCGACAUUCCUUCAAGGGCUUCUAGAGGCAGAUCCCAAGUUGAUACAUAAGAAACGCUCGGUUACAGAAAACUGUAUGUUAGUUUACAGUUUAAAAGAGAAACUCUUGCAAGCAGUAAACCAAACAAAGAGGAUAGGAUAAAUAACACUCUUGAUUGGUCUGCAGAGGUGGAGAUGGGGACCCAGUUGCUUCUAGACCCUGAAUUCUUCAAACAUCUGCCCAAAGAUUUCAGCCUGCUCUUGAGAUUCCCACAGCUAGAAGAGGAACCCAAGAACCUAACUCUGGGGUGAGGCAGAAUCCCUGGCCCACCAUUUCUGAGGCUAGAGAGAAGGCUGAAGAAUCUACUCUGCUCCUAGGGUAGGGGAUAUUUGGAGCAGCGGCUCCCAUAAGGUCUCUGGGUAGUAGUAAAUGCAACCACCAGCCCCAGCUUUCUCAAAGGCCAGAGAUGUGCGUUUUACCCUUCUACCCCGCCCCAUAUUCCCCCUCUCUCCCCAUAAAGAAUUUAGCAUUUAGUAGAGUGGGGGAGGGGGAGGGGAGACCACCAGCCUGGAUCUUCAAGUUCAAUGGCAAAGUCCCUGACCCCCACAGACUGGGUGCCCACAGUCGUUGCUUUCCUCUUCCCAUAAUUCUGGGGGCUACUGCAUUCCUUUGCUGCCUCUCCUGUUUCAGGGGGCAAUUAGGGGAGGCUAAGGGUAAUGGUGGCAUUCUUUCUUUCACAGUCUCGGACCACUCCGUGCCCUUCCCCCACCCCCCACAACUAGUAGUCGUGAAAGGAAGGCAGGCUGGCAUCUGUUCCCCCAUUGGAUGUUUUGAAUCUCUCUUCCAGCCCCAACCAGAGCCGGGAGGAGGGACGGUGCCCCGCGCUUGGGCAGGAGGAGGUGGGCGGCUCCUGAGUUUCCCCUACGUCUGCCCCGACAGAGAGUGUUCAGGUGGGUGAGCUUGUGGUAUAAAUGCCUUUCAAAAACCACUGAAACCUCUUCCCUUCGUCUUUUCCACCACAGCCGCCUGGGCGCUUUAUGGCAGUCGACGGUAACGAGUUCAUUUAUUUAAUUCGAGAUUGUACUCUGGGGUUUCUAUUAGAUGGGACUGGGGUAGGGAUGGGGCGCGGUUUCCCCGAAAGAAACCUAAUUAAAGUGCAGCGCUUAGAAACUUGAAUGGGGGUGGGGUGGGGGAAGCUGGGAACCCUCUCUGUGUUGGGGGGAGGGGAACCGGCAACCCUUCCGAGCUGGAGGAGGAGCCUGCAUGCUAGAGCUGUCUUUAAGCAAUCCCCAGUAAUAGAAUGCUCAGGAGAGGUAAAACACAUUUUCAUUACGCUGCAAACCUACCAGCGUUCUCCUACCUCCCCAACCCCCGGAAGUGUUUGCCUGCAUUAGUAAAAGGCCGGAACUUGAAAGCCUGGGGGUCACCCUUCGCUUUGCUGUGGCUGGGACCUAGAUUCAAAAGAGCUUCCGGAAGCCCUGUCCACACACUUGCCACAAUCCACUCAUUGGACCUCUAGAGGCCUAAUACAGUCCACCUGCUUAGUCGUUAAGAGUGAUAUUGGCACUAGGGUGUAGACACCCUACAAAGGGUGUCUUUGUUUUUUGUUUUUUUUGUUUUUUGUUUUUUAAAAUGGUACAUUGGAAUCCAGUUUCGUUACUCUGAGCUGGAGGAACUGAAAUGGGUCGGAGGGAAGGGGAGGGUAUACAGAACGGCUCAGAGUAAAAUUAUACCUUAUUAAUGAAAAAGGUAUUCCCCAAUUAUUUUCCGGAAUAGAUGCGUGUCCCAGGAAUUGUUUAUCCUUUGAUAGUAUUGUCUGAAGUUGUCACAGAUUUUUCUCGGUUGUUUUAAGAAAGAAAGGAAGGAAGGAAGAUCUUCAGGUAUCUCUUACUGAAAAGAAAAUCGCAGCAGGUUCCAUACAAAUAA